UUGGAAUCUUGUAUUUGUAUUUACUUUCUAAGUCAAUAAUUGUGUUGAAUUUUAUCAGUUAUUGCUGCUGAUUUCUCCAUAGUUUUUAAGUCUGUUAUUUUUUAUACAACAGCCUAAUCUAGAAACGAAGCACUCAUUUGAGGCGACCAAUUCGUGUGAAUUUGUUGUCAAUCUUUUUUUUUUUUGCCAAGUACUACUGCAUAUUUAAUGAUUUGCAAUUUUUUUUAUUGUGAUGAUUAGUUACAAAAGGUGAAAGAAAUAAUAUCUGUGUCCCCUGGCCUUCCAACAAAAUGCGAAAAUGUUACAUGUAAUGUUAUAAUAAAACUUACACAUUCAAUUUAAAAAAAAGUUAUAUAUAGUUUUUUUUUUUUUUAAACACAGCGCCUUUGUUAUUUUAAAUUACCAGCAUACAUGUUUAUUAUUAUGAAAGGAAUCUUGCAGAAAGAUAUUAGUGCUAGAGAGUUUUGUCGCAGAUAGCUCGAAAAAAUUCUGCCUCAAGGAUUCAGAGUAUAACAGCUUUGGUUAUACCUAUCAUUUCAAUUAAUGUUAUUAUAUUGCUUUUUUAAAUUUAUUGUUGUGAUUUUGUUGGAGAAAAUAGUAACUUCGGUAAGUCAUGACAACUUCUUGGUAUUGAUGGAAAGUCAGGGAUUUGAAAAUCUAAAAUAUACCCUGCACAAUACCCUAUCAAAAUGAAAAGCAAUCCAUAGCUGAAUAUGUCCCAACUUUGCAACAUAUUUUAACUUAUGUGAUUCUUAAGUCAAAUGUGACUGUGAUAAGUGUUUUGAUGGUAUGGGUAUUUCUCUGCACACAAUUUAUACAUAGAAUUCUUGAUAAUUUGAUUCGUUAACAUACAAUCUGAUAUUGCAAUGUUUAAUAUAUUUAUGCGAAGGCCAUUGCUUUGGAAUCUUCUCAUAUACAAAGUAAAGACUAAUGCAAGAACUCUUUUCGAGAAUAAAGUGACUGAAAUAAGUAAUAAUAUAUUAUAAAAAUGAAAAAUUUAGAUAAUUCCUUCCUUCAGCAAUCCCAUGCCCAUUUUAUUUUUAUGGUCUUAAUUGAUGAUAAAAUAUGAGAUACAUUUUGUAAUGGUUAUUAAAACAUUAUAUAUGUAUAUAUUUUUUUUCUUCUUUCAGAUAUGUUAUUUUGAACCCAUCUGUAAAGGCUAUCUAUGCUCUUUUACUUCAGCACCAUCUUGGAAUUGGCGAUGACGUAUUGUAAAUUAGAAUGAAAAGGGAAACAGUGUUUUGAAAGCCUCUCAGCUGUUACAAACGCCAUCUUGGCUGCUACCUUCAGACUGUUUGAAGAAACUAGCUGACUAGAAAAAGCUGAAAAAUUUGGUGAAGUUCUUGCCACCGCCAACGACCGGGAAGGCAGGAAGACUAAGUUUGUCUCAACUGACAGUUUUGUUUUAGAAACAAUUGAUUGUAUUAAAGAAUAUAAUAAAUUAUAGAAAUUAGUA
Non-coding RNA from Parasteatoda tepidariorum (common house spider), 1456 nucleotides. The record is from RefSeq and is a predicted model, not a curated record. Lineage: Eukaryota; Metazoa; Arthropoda; Arachnida; Araneae; Theridiidae.